Molecule: ribosomal RNA, 460 nt
Filed under: uncultured bacterium
Lineage: Bacteria
Description: partial 16S ribosomal RNA
Rfam family: Bacterial small subunit ribosomal RNA
Source: RNAcentral
CCUACGGGAGGCUGCAGUGAGGAAUAUUGGUCAAUGGACGAGAGUCUGAACCAGCCACGUAGCGUGAAGGAUGAAUGCCCUCUGAGUUGUAACCUUCUUUUAUAUGGGAGUAAAACAGGGUAUGCAUACCCUCUUGUAUGUACCAUAUGAAUAAGGAUCGGCUAACUCCGUGCCGGCAGCCGCGGUAAUGCGGAGGAUCCGAGCGUUAUCCGGAUUGAUUGGGUUUAAGGGUAACGUAGGUGGAUUGUUAAGUCAUGUGUGAAAGUUAGGGGCUCAACCGUAAAAUUGCAGUUGAAACUGGCAGUCUUGAGUAUAGUAGAGGUGGGUGGAAUUCGUGGUGUAGGGGUGAAAUGCGUAGAUAUCAGGAAGAACUCCAAUGGCGAAGGCGACUAUCUGGCCCGUAACUGACACUGAGGCGCGAAAGGGUGGGUAGCAAACAGGAUUAGAUACCCGGGUAGUC